CCUACGGGGGGCUGCAGUGGGGAAUAUUGGACAAUGGGGGGAACCCUGAUCCAGCCAUACCGCGUGUGUGAAGAAGGCCCUCGGGUUGUAAAGCACUUUCAGUGAGGAAGAACGCCUGGUGGUUAAUACCCAUCAGGAAAGACAUCACUCACAGAAGAAGCACCGGCUAACUCCGUGCCAGCAGCCGCGGUAAUACGGAGGGUGCGAGCGUUAAUCGGAAUUACUGGGCGUAAAGCGCGCGUAGGUGGCUUGAUAAGCCGGUUGUGAAAGCCCCGGGCUCAACCUGGGAACGGCAUCCGGAACUGUCAAGCUAGAGUGCAGGAGAGGAAGGUAGAAUUCCCGGUGUAGCGGUGAAAUGCGUAGAGAUCGGGAGGAAUACCAGUGGCGAAGGCGGCCUUCUGGACUGACACUGACACUGAGGUGCGAAAGCGUGGGUAGCAAACAGGAUUAGAUACCCCGGUAGUC
RNAcentral lists this ribosomal RNA (465 nucleotides) under Vreelandella stevensii. Its description in RNAcentral is "partial 16S ribosomal RNA". It matches the Rfam family "Bacterial small subunit ribosomal RNA", at positions 338 to 795 of the family's 1533-position model. Lineage: Bacteria; Pseudomonadati; Pseudomonadota; Gammaproteobacteria; Oceanospirillales; Halomonadaceae. The record is from RNAcentral.